This 485-nucleotide ribosomal RNA is filed under the name uncultured bacterium. RNAcentral describes it as "bacterial SSU rRNA". It matches the Rfam family "Bacterial small subunit ribosomal RNA", at positions 30 to 507 of the family's 1533-position model. The record is from RNAcentral.
AUUGAACGCUGGCGGAAUGCUUUUACACAUGCAAGUCGAACGGCAGCACGGACUUCGGUCUGGUGGCGAGUGGCGAACGGGUGAGUAAUACAUCGGAACGUGCCCAGUCGUGGGGGAUAACGUAGCGAAAGCUACGCUAAUACCGCAUACGAUCUACGGAUGAAAGCGGGGGAUCGCAAGACCUCGCGCGAUUGGAGCGGCCGAUGGCAGAUUAGGUAGUUGGUGGGGUAAAGGCUCACCAAGCCGACGAUCUGUAGCUGGUCUGAGAGGACGACCAGCCACACUGGGACUGAGACACGGCCCAGACUCCUACGGGAGGCAGCAGUGGGGAAUUUUGGACAAUGGGCGCAAGCCUGAUCCAGCCAUUCCGCGUGCAGGAUGAAGGCCCUCGGGUUGUAAACUGCUUUUGUACAGAACGAAAAGGCUCUGGUUAAUACCUGGGGCUCAUGACGGUACUGUAAGAAUAAGCACCGGCUAACUACGUG